RNAcentral lists this unclassified non-coding RNA (227 nucleotides) under Ascomycota sp. RNAcentral's name for it is "partial contains small subunit ribosomal RNA, internal transcribed spacer 1, and 5.8S ribosomal RNA". The stretch from base 1 to 47 matches the Rfam family "Eukaryotic small subunit ribosomal RNA", at positions 1785 to 1831 of the family's 1831-position model. The record is from RNAcentral. Lineage: Eukaryota; Fungi; Ascomycota.
AAAGUCGUAACAAGGUCUCCGUAGGUGAACCUGCGGAGGGAUCAUUACCGAGCGAGGGCUUCGCGGCCCGACCUCCAACCCUUUGUCGAUGAAUACCACGUUGCCUCGGGGGGCGACCCGGCCCCGCGCCGGGAGCCCCCCCAGGGGACCCAUCAAUUCUGCGUCCUUGCGUCGGAGUUUAAUUGAAAAUUCAAUCAAAACUUUCAACAACGGAUCUCUUGGUUCUG